RNAcentral lists this unclassified non-coding RNA (389 nucleotides) under soil metagenome. RNAcentral's name for it is "partial contains 5.8S ribosomal RNA, internal transcribed spacer 2, and large subunit ribosomal RNA". The stretch from base 1 to 122 matches the Rfam family "5.8S ribosomal RNA", at positions 35 to 154 of the family's 154-position model. The record is from RNAcentral.
GAUGAAGAACGUAGCGAAAUGCGAUACUUGGUGUGAAUUGCAGAAUCCCGCGAAUCAUCGAGUUUUUGAACGCAAGUUGCGCCCGAAGCCAUUCGGCCGAGGGCACGUCUGCCUGGGUGUCACGCAUCGUUGCCCCCCCAAACUCCGGUUCGGGCGGGGCGGAAGUUGGCCUCCCGUGCGUGCCUGCGCGCGCGGUUAGCCCAAAAGCGAGUCCUCGGCGACGAGCGCCACGACACUCGGUGGUUUUUUUCCCCUCGUUCCUCGUCGUGCGUGUCCCGUCGCCCGAACGCGCUCUUGUGACCCUCACGCGUCGCCUCGGCGGCGCUCCCAACGCGACCCCAGGUCAGGCGGGACUACCCGCUGAGUUUAAGCAUAUCAUAAGCGGAGGA